UACGUAGGCAGCAAGCGUUGUUCGGAGUUACUGGGCGUAAAGGGUGCGUAGGCGGCUUCUUAAGUCUGGUGUGAAAUCUCCCGGCUCAACUGGGAGGGUGCGCCGGAUACUGAGGGGCUAGAGUGUGGGAGAGGAAAGUGGAAUUCCUGGUGUAGCGGUGAAAUGCGUAGAUAUCAGGAGGAACACCGGUGGUGUAAACGGCUUUCUGGACCAUAACUGACGCUGAGGCGCGAAGGCUGGGGUAGCGAACAGG
Molecule: ribosomal RNA, 253 nt
Filed under: uncultured bacterium
Lineage: Bacteria
Description: partial 16S ribosomal RNA
Rfam family: Bacterial small subunit ribosomal RNA
Source: RNAcentral